GGCUUCUCGGAGGGUUGGACCUUGUGGCUACUGGCUUCACAGGCCCUUCCCUCUUUUCUCUCUCUUUUUUUUCCUCUUUUCCCCUUUGUUUUGGUCUAAAUAGCGAGCAAGGUGUUUUUUAUUUUUGACUUUUUGGAUUUCUAGAGAUAAGAUUAAUAGCAAAUAAAGAUGUUUACUUAAUUCUUCUUCUAAUUAUAACUAUAUAUGUGAAAGUCUAUCAAUGUUUUAAGACUUCACUGAUACUGUUUCAUGAGUUUUCCUACCCAAAUCCAAAUACAAUAAUUUUUCAAAACCGAUUCUUCAAAAAUUAAAUCCAGACAUGCAUCAUUGCUAUCAAGAAACCAAAGAUAAAUGUAAAUCUGCUGAUGCAUGACAGAUUGUCCAAGCUAUGGUAGGUAGUCCUUUUCUAAGCGGCUGAUUGGCAGAAAUGACAAAUUGGUUGUGGAUGCACCCAAAAUUUCUUUUGUAUUUUAAUUGUUUCUUUUUGUUAAGAACCUGUGAGAUCUUCAAACCAACUUUGUCAUUUCCCAGAUAAUGCUUCUGAGGCACAUAUUCAAGUAAGAUACAAUGUUUUGGAGAUACCUAUCAAUCUCCCUUCUCAGAAACCUCCUGCAGAUAAGCCGAAUCCCAAACAAGGAAUCAGUAAGUCUUUGGUUCAAAUAUUUUAUUAAGUGAGAAAUUUCAUCACUGUCUUUUGUCUUCAUAUUCUUAGUUGUUCCUGUUUAUUUAUGAAUAUCACCUAAAUAUGGCAAAUAUUAGAUAAAAGUUGAACAAUUGGAUAUUUGUUUAGGAGAUUUUGAACAUUUAUCAUCUUUUCAAUGGCCACGUAGUUCUUGUUUUCCUUCUUGACAACUAAACCUUUAUAGUAACAUUUAUUGACUUGAGCGAUAAGUCUGAUAAUGCUCUAAUUUCUGAAUGAUAACUAUUAGCUUUCUAUUUGAUGAGGAUCUGUUCUAUCUCAAAGUGAGCUUUAUCAGCCUAGUAUCUUCAUCGUCAAGGAUUCAUGCAGAACGUUUCUGAAUUUAUAGAUCUAUGAUCUACAAGUAGAAGCUUGUUUUGGUUGGCUAACCUAUCUAUUGAAUCUCCAUAAGAUCAGAGAAACUACUCUCUAGGCUCACAAAUGAGUGCUUCGUUAUGCGAAACUUAAUUGCAGGCCUGAUGUCAUGGAGCAGCGAUUGUCAAUAUAUUUGCACUCGCAAUGAUAGCAUGCCUACUGUACUCUGGAUAUGGGACAUAAACCAUCUUGAGCUAGCUGCCAUCUUAGUUCAGAAAGAUCCCAUCCGGACUGCAGCCUGGGAUCCCACAUGUCCACGUUUGGUUUUAUGUACUGGAAGCUCCCACUUGUACAUGUGGACACCUUUGGGUGCUUAUUGCAUAAAUGUUCCAUUGCCUCAAUUUGCUGUAAUUGAUCUGAAAUGGAACUCAGAUGGGAGCUGCCUUUUUCUCAAAGACAAGGAGUCAUUCUGCUGUGCUGCUCCGGAGAUACUGCAGGAAUCCAGUGAUUAUAGCUCUGACGACUGAUGAUUCUAUCAUACACAUAAUGAAACUUAAUGGAGCUGAAAUUUUUUGCUCAUCACAUCUCCCAAAGUAUCAUCCCUCAAGGAGGCAGCUUAGCUUGCUUAUUAUUUUUCAGUUUGCACUAUUGACAUGGAGGAAGAGGUAAUCUUAGGCUGUAAUAAUCUGGUUUAUUUGCAUUCUAAUGGCGUAUAUUUGAGAUCCAAAAAGGUAGGACAGAUUUUAGAAUCCAGAUUUGUAACGUAAUCUCCUGACAGAUAAGUCAAAGGGGGUCUUUUGAGAGGACCUUUGCCUAUGCUGGAUACCAAAUUUAAUGUACUAAUAAAUUAUCUCUAAGUUAAUGCGCAAUGCCUGAAGCACAACUAUUGCCUGCAUGCGAUGGAGUGUUCCAUCCCAUCUCAAAAACACAAAGGUUUCUUCACUGGCUUGCAGUGCCUUGACUUGAGUUCUAACUGUCGGAUUGAGUGAGAUUACCAGAUAUCUGCGACUACAUCUUUAGAUUCAUCGAUCUAUUUUGAUGGAAGAUGGUGCAAGUGCAACGAACAGUUGGUUCGAAAACAUUCCCCAGCUCACUGUGAACUGAACAAUUGAAAUUUUGGGCACAAACAAGUUUAAGUGGAAAUAUUGGCUUAUUUAUUCUUCAGAUGGCAUAAAAGUUAAUGGUAGGAGUUUUUUUUUUUUUUUUUUUUUUUUGUAGUUGAAUAUGAUCAGUUAGAUACUAAUAUUCAACUUCUUGGUUUCUUAAAGAGUAUGUGGGACAAAAUGUGCAGUUUCCCGAAAAUUAACUUCUUGAUCUUUUCCUUAUUGUACGUGAUGUGUGUUGGAGUAUCUAUAAGCUAUAUCUAUAUAUCUAUGUAUCUAUAUAUAUAAUAUAUUAAAAGUGUGAAAAUUUUUGAUUUGAAUUUUUUGCCCUUCAUUAAAAGUUUUCACAAUAGACAAAACUAUCUUUUUAUUAUUUUCAUAUUUAUAAUAUUUGAAUUUUAAAAUUAAGAAAUCCUAAAAUAUAUGGUAAAAAAAAUAAUUAGCAUAUUUUAACCCUAGCGAUUUGGAAGUAAAAAUAUAAUAGAUUUUAUUUUAAUGUUGGUAGGUUUUUUAUCCCCAUAAUUAAUAUUAAACCACUCUUUCUAUAUUUAGUUGUACUUGGCUUCUUUACUACUAUGUUUCCUUUUCAUACUAUCUUGGAUAUGCUGUAGUUGAGUCGUUGAUCUAUCUGAAACAAGUACAACCUCUCUACACUCACAAGGUAUGGGUAAGGCUGCGUAUGUACCACCCUCUCCGGACUCCACUGGGCAUGUUAUUGUAUAGGGGAGAGGGGGUGGGAAAUCUUAAUAGUCCAUUGGGAAAAUGUGGUUCUGGUUUGCUCAUUAGAAUUUUUUUUAUUUUUGAUAAAGGUAUUUUAUUACUCUCUCUAUUCCAAUUUUUAUGUGACUUACUUUCCCUGUCCCAAUUUAUUUGGCACACUUUCUUUUUUAGUUCCCCACUUUGUGAGAGUAAAUGGGUAUGUUGUUGUUGUUAUUGUACAUUCAUUUUUAGUCCAUCCCAAAAAGAAUGCCACCUUUCUAUAAUAAGAAAGAAUCUAAUUUUAAAAUUUCCCUUUUACCUCAAUGAAACGAUUUAUAAUCACACAAUUGUCUAUGGUGUUUUAGAUCACAAAUUUCAAAUGGUCUUCCUUUUUCUUAAACUUUUUGCCAAUGUCACAUAAAUUGACGGAAGGAGUAGUAUGAAUCAGCACAAAAUUGAAGAAAUAAUGACUUCUGAAACAUGUCGCUUAAAACAUACCAUAGCUUUUUUGGCUCUUAUUCCACAUGAUGCAUAGUGGGCUAGUCUUCUUCCAUGUUUUCUUCUAAAUCUUCUAAAUUCUUCACCCAUGCCAUCAAGAUAGUAGAAUUUCACAUCUUGGGGCAUCACUGUUAGAACUCCAAAGAUAUUUAAGAAGAAAGACCAAAUCUGCCAAAGAUAUUGAAUAGGUCUCAAGUUCAAAUCCCAAGGCAAUAAACAGUGGGUGAUUUUUCUAUAUGUCAAAGCCUUGUUUGACGGUGUUAUCCGGUAUUUGAGUUGGUGGGAGUUAGCAAGUGCCUGGUGGAAUAGUUGAGGUGGGCGCAGCUAGCCUGGGUACCACUGUCAUAAACAAAAGAUGUUGCUGGUUUUUAUAGGAUAUCACUUGAAAAAACACCUCUUGCAAAGUGAAUAGCCUGUUCUCUGAAAUGCAACUUGAAUCAGACAAGCGAUGCUGUAAAGCUAUCCAAAGCAAGCUGCUUCAGUUGCUGCUGCCUUUGUUCUCCAUAACUAUAACAUCCUACCAGGCCGAUUAUUUUCCCAGCUCAUUGAUUGGUUUUGCAGCAGCGAGUACUAGCUUUUUACAGCUCCUUGAUUGUUUUGUGCUCGUUAGGGAUUUGAGGUUUGACCGUUAAGCUAAUGACACAUGUUCUAAUUCCUGACAAAGUUUAACUAACGCAAUGCCUGUAUCAACCUGAUCUAUAUUGGUAUGUUUGAAGAAGGUGAUGAAGAGAGAGAACUCCGUUUGAAGUUAAAGAAAGUAGAUUUGUUAACUAAACAUGUCAAGCCUAACUUUUAGGAUUUUGAACUAGGGCCAGAAGCCUAUUAUGCAGGAAUAGGAACAAAGGAAAACAUCCCAACUAAUUCUAGGGGAAAAUGUAUGUUUAAAUAUAAGUUCUAGAGUGUACUGCAGUAAAAUACAAAAAUAUUAUAUGCUUUUGUUGUAGGUGUAAACUAAAUAAAUAAAAGUGUUCCUCUCUAACUACUUGAGUUUUCUGGAUGAGGUAGUUACAUAAUUCAGUAUGGUACUAGAGAAAAAUAUAUGGUACAUUGGUACUACCGGAAACAUAUAUUCUAAGUUUGAAUGUUACUUUCAUUCAUCAGUAGCAGUUUUUUCACAUGCCUGGUUUGUGCAAAAAGGUCAUGCCCUCACAUGUGGAGACGUGAUGCAGAUUUUAAGUAAAUAAAUAACAGCAUUCCUUCUCUAACAUGUUAGGUUUUUCGGAUGAGGUGGUCACACAAUUUAUUAAUUUUCACAUUAGCUUAUCUUUUGUACAAUUGUAAUUCUUUUAUAAGGUUUCUGCAACUAUAACUUUUGUGAUGUAAGAAAAAUCAAUUAUAAUGUUAGCACUCUCUGUUGCUGUAUAUAAACCUUAUUAUUUUGAAGACACCUUCAACAUAUGUUGUCUUUCUUUUACGUACUCAGUUGGAUUUUGACAUCAUGUCUCCUCAAGUACAUUUAACUCCAUUUGGUUUCUGAUUUUUGAAAACUCUCAAACAGACCCAAUUUUUUAUUUUAUUUUUAUAUAUAGGUUCAUAUUUUCAAACUACUUUUUUGGCUUCUCGGAGGGUUGGACCUUGUGGCUACUGGCUUCACAGGCCCUUCCCUCUUUUCUCUCUCUUUUUUUUCCUCUUUUCCCCUUUGUUUUGGUCUAAAUAGCGAGCAAGGUGUUUUUUAUUUUUGACUUUUUGGAUUUCUAGAGAUAAGAUUAAUAGCAAAUAAAGAUGUUUACUUAAUUCUUCUUCUAAUUAUAACUAUAUAUGUGAAAGUCUAUCAAUGUUUUAAGACUUCACUGAUACUGUUUCAUGAGUUUUCCUACCCAAAUCCAAAUACAAUAAUUUUUCAAAACCGAUUCUUCAAAAAUUAAAUCC
RNAcentral lists this long non-coding RNA (5163 nucleotides) under Capsicum annuum. RNAcentral's name for it is "long non-coding RNA (CANN_LNC004874)". Lineage: Eukaryota; Viridiplantae; Streptophyta; Magnoliopsida; Solanales; Solanaceae. The record is from RNAcentral.